This is a long non-coding RNA of Vidua macroura (Pin-tailed whydah), 412 nucleotides long. RefSeq lists it as uncharacterized. The record is from RefSeq and is a predicted model, not a curated record. The transcript is spliced from 4 exons. NCBI's taxonomy places the organism in Eukaryota, Metazoa, Chordata, Aves, Passeriformes, Viduidae.
CAUUGGUCAGUGGGUGGUGAGCAAUUGCAUUGUGCAUCCCUUUUUUGUUUUCUCCUACAUAACCCUGAUGGGAGGGAGUGAGCCAGCAGCUGUGUUGUGUUUAGUUGCCUGCUGAAUUAAACAAUGACAUCCAUGUGUGGAUGACCUUCCCACAGGACCCCUCCUGAGAUGACAUCUUUCCCUACAGCUCUGCCGCAGGCUGUGCCUGCAUGGACAAGCACCCAAGGAGAUGCUGGAGUUGCCCAGGAGCUCCCUUUUCUGUGACCCAUUUCACCGAAGCCAAAGUGUUACAUCAGGAAGACAUUUUCCAGCAGCUAUUUACUGCCAUCCAAAAGAAGGGCAGCAUGACAUUAUAUUGUAGACUGAAGCAGGCAAAUGUUUCUCUAAGUAAAUAAAUGAUCAAUUAUAUGCA